This 2774-nucleotide ribosomal RNA is filed under the name Escherichia coli. Its description in RNAcentral is "bacterial LSU rRNA". It matches the Rfam family "Bacterial large subunit ribosomal RNA". Lineage: Bacteria; Pseudomonadati; Pseudomonadota; Gammaproteobacteria; Enterobacterales; Enterobacteriaceae. The record is from RNAcentral.
AGCGUACACGGUGGAUGCCCUGGCAGUCAGAGGCGAUGAAGGACGUGCUAAUCUGCGAUAAGCGUCGGUAAGGUGAUAUGAACCGUUAUAACCGGCGAUUUCCGAAUGGGGAAACCCAGUGUGAUUCGUCACACUAUCAUUAACUGAAUCCAUAGGUUAAUGAGGCGAACCGGGGGAACUGAAACAUCUAAGUACCCCGAGGAAAAGAAAUCAACCGAGAUUCCCCCAGUAGCGGCGAGCGAACGGGGAGGAGCCCAGAGCCUGAAUCAGUGUGUGUGUUAGUGGAAGCGUCUGGAAAGGCGCGCGAUACAGGGUGACAGCCCCGUACACAAAAAUGCACAUACUGUGAGCUCGAUGAGUAGGGCGGGACACGUGGUAUCCUGUCUGAAUAUGGGGGGACCAUCCUCCAAGGCUAAAUACUCCUGACUGACCGAUAGUGAACCAGUACCGUGAGGGAAAGGCGAAAAGAACCCCGGCGAGGGGAGUGAAAAAGAACCUGAAACCGUGUACGUACAAGCAGUGGGAGCACGCUUCGGCGUGUGACUGCGUACCUUUUGUAUAAUGGGUCAGCGACUUAUAUUCUGUAGCAAGGUUAACCGAAUAGGGGAGCCGAAGGGAAACCGAGUCUUAACUGGGCGUUAAGUUGCAGGGUAUAGACCCGAAACCCGGUGAUCUAGCCAUGGGCAGGUUGAAGGUUGGGUAACACUAACUGGAGGACCGAACCGACUAAUGUUGAAAAAUUAGCGGAUGACUUGUGGCUGGGGGUGAAAGGCCAAUCAAACCGGGAGAUAGCUGGUUCUCCCCGAAAGCUAUUUAGGUAGCGCCUCGUGAAUUCAUCUCCGGGGGUAGAGCACUGUUUCGGCAAGGGGGUCAUCCCGACUUACCAACCCGAUGCAAACUGCGAAUACCGGAGAAUGUUAUCACGGGAGACACACGGCGGGUGCUAACGUCCGUCGUGAAGAGGGAAACAACCCAGACCGCCAGCUAAGGUCCCAAAGUCAUGGUUAAGUGGGAAACGAUGUGGGAAGGCCCAGACAGCCAGGAUGUUGGCUUAGAAGCAGCCAUCAUUUAAAGAAAGCGUAAUAGCUCACUGGUCGAGUCGGCCUGCGCGGAAGAUGUAACGGGGCUAAACCAUGCACCGAAGCUGCGGCAGCGACACUAUGUGUUGUUGGGUAGGGGAGCGUUCUGUAAGCCUGCGAAGGUGUACUGUGAGGUAUGCUGGAGGUAUCAGAAGUGCGAAUGCUGACAUAAGUAACGAUAAAGCGGGUGAAAAGCCCGCUCGCCGGAAGACCAAGGGUUCCUGUCCAACGUUAAUCGGGGCAGGGUGAGUCGACCCCUAAGGCGAGGCCGAAAGGCGUAGUCGAUGGGAAACAGGUUAAUAUUCCUGUACUUGGUGUUACUGCGAAGGGGGGACGGAGAAGGCUAUGUUGGCCGGGCGACGGUUGUCCCGGUUUAAGCGUGUAGGCUGGUUUUCCAGGCAAAUCCGGAAAAUCAAGGCUGAGGCGUGAUGACGAGGCACUACGGUGCUGAAGCAACAAAUGCCCUGCUUCCAGGAAAAGCCUCUAAGCAUCAGGUAACAUCAAAUCGUACCCCAAACCGACACAGGUGGUCAGGUAGAGAAUACCAAGGCGCUUGAGAGAACUCGGGUGAAGGAACUAGGCAAAAUGGUGCCGUAACUUCGGGAGAAGGCACGCUGAUAUGUAGGUGAAGCGACUUGCUCGUGGAGCUGAAAUCAGUCGAAGAUACCAGCUGGCUGCAACUGUUUAUUAAAAACACAGCACUGUGCAAACACGAAAGUGGACGUAUACGGUGUGACGCCUGCCCGGUGCCGGAAGGUUAAUUGAUGGGGUUAGCGGUAACGCGAAGCUCUUGAUCGAAGCCCCGGUAAACGGCGGCCGUAACUAUAACGGUCCUAAGGUAGCGAAAUUCCUUGUCGGGUAAGUUCCGACCUGCACGAAUGGCGUAAUGAUGGCCAGGCUGUCUCCACCCGAGACUCAGUGAAAUUGAACUCGCUGUGAAGAUGCAGUGUACCCGCGGCAAGACGGAAAGACCCCGUGAACCUUUACUAUAGCUUGACACUGAACAUUGAGCCUUGAUGUGUAGGAUAGGUGGGAGGCUUUGAAGUGUGGACGCCAGUCUGCAUGGAGCCGACCUUGAAAUACCACCCUUUAAUGUUUGAUGUUCUAACGUUGGCCCCUGAUCGGGGUUGCGGACAGUGUCUGGUGGGUAGUUUGACUGGGGCGGUCUCCUCCUAAAGAGUAACGGAGGAGCACGAAGGUUGGCUAAUCCUGGUCGGACAUCAGGAGGUUAGUGCAAUGGCAUAAGCCAGCUUGACUGCGAGCGUGACGGCGCGAGCAGGUGCGAAAGCAGGUCAUAGUGAUCCGGUGGUUCUGAAUGGAAGGGCCAUCGCUCAACGGAUAAAAGGUACUCCGGGGAUAACAGGCUGAUACCGCCCAAGAGUUCAUAUCGACGGCGGUGUUUGGCACCUCGAUGUCGGCUCAUCACAUCCUGGGGCUGAAGUAGGUCCCAAGGGUAUGGCUGUUCGCCAUUUAAAGUGGUACGCGAGCUGGGUUUAGAACGUCGUGAGACAGUUCGGUCCCUAUCUGCCGUGGGCGCUGGAGAACUGAGGGGGGCUGCUCCUAGUACGAGAGGACCGGAGUGGACGCAUCACUGGUGUUCGGGUUGUCAUGCCAAUGGCACUGCCCGGUAGCUAAAUGCGGAAGAGAUAAGUGCUGAAAGCAUCUAAGCACGAAACUUGCCCCGAGAUGAGUUCU